Long non-coding RNA from Rhododendron vialii, 3141 nucleotides. RefSeq lists it as uncharacterized. The record is from RefSeq and is a predicted model, not a curated record. NCBI's taxonomy places the organism in Eukaryota, Viridiplantae, Streptophyta, Magnoliopsida, Ericales, Ericaceae. The transcript is spliced from 2 exons.
UCUUCUAUAAAAACUGCCUAGGCUUAGGCCAAUACCAAAGGGGGCAGAACCCAUGGAUUAAUUAUACGCCUAGCACUGUGUUGAAGAUCGAUGAGAGAUGAUUAUUCAAGGGGGUGGAUAACAUACACAGGUUUUUCGAUCGGCGGCGACGGGUGAGUGGUUUCCAUGCUAGGCUUGUCAAGUGAGCAGUCCUCAGCUGUUAACCUUUAUUUCGUUGUCUGUUCGACCUUGAAAACUUAUGGUUCAUAUGCAAAAAACAAAACCAAAAAGAAAAAAAACCCUAGUUGUUAUUGAUCUAAAUUAAGUGAACAAAGAUUAGCAUCAAAAUGAUCAACUUUCCAUGUGGUUAAGUUUUUUUUUUUUUUCAUUUUUAUAACACAAAGAAACAUAAUUAACUAGAGAAAAAUGAUUAUAUGUAACAUCAAACUACACCGCGAUCAAAUAUUAACUACCUAAAACUCCGAAAAGGGAGUUGAUCUCUCUCUCUCUCUCUCUCUCUCUCUCUCUCUCUCUGUCUCUCUCUCUCUCUCUCUCUCUCUCUCACAUCGUCGUGCCUUACUUAUUUUAGGUCUAAGUAGAGUAGUAGACUUGUAGCAUCGCGGGCAGUGUGUUAGUACUUAUGUCUAUGGGGGUAUCAACUAGCUAGUGUCUAUGGGUUACAGUGUUAACAUACAUAAAAGGAUUGUCAUCUUUGAACUUGUAAGCUUUUAGAUAGAUGAGUUAUUAGAUAGUCAUUGAUCCAAUAUAUAUGCAUGAUAUCAGAACAUACCAUAGUCGUUCUUGUGUUUGAAUCUUCCUUGCCAUAGAUGAGGUCCUCAUUGUUGAAUCUAUUUGGAAGGAUUGUUUUACAGAGUCAUCCAAUAUGCAUGUUACAGAUGUUCAAACAAACAACAUCUACCCAUCAAUGAUUAGAUGUAUUAUUCUUUUGUUUGAAUCUCUCCGCCUUGCACUAUAUAAGGAGGAUCUUCUGCUUCUUUAUGUAUGUUACAGAAGGAAUGUGUGUCAUCCAAUAGAUUUUUUUUUUAAUAGAUGCAUACAAUCUUAGAAGGAAAGUCAUUAUGUUUUUCGAGAAAAUCAUGGAUGGGUAGGUGCAAAACUUUCAAAAACCUUAUUUUUUUUUUCUCGGCGUAUGUCAAUAGUGUCAGAGUAGUUAUAUUUGAACCUCUAGUCAAAUAGAUGAAUGUACGUACACGGUGCUUACCACUGGACUACCACCCCACUUGUAAUGUAAUAGCCUGGACUCAUCCGUCCUCGACCUGUCUUUUGAGUGGUCCCGGAAACCUUUCAAAAGAUGAGAUAUAGAUUGUGUGCAAGUGUCUUGUACGUGGGAUCGAUGUGUAAGAUUAAGGUAGUAGUAGUAUAAUGUUAGUCCUAGCUAGUAAAUGUUUCUCCCAUGAAGAAUGAGGGAAUACCGGAAUUGUCAGGCAGGAGAUAUAUGUACAUACUCCUUUUGUCCCAAUUUAAAUGUCCCCUACUGUUCUGCGUGUCAUUUUCAAUUGUUUAUAUUUUUUAAUGUAUAUUACUAAAAAUAUCCAUUAUGGAUAUUAUUUUGAUAGAUCUCAAUUAUUUUUAUAAGACAAUAUUAAUUCUAAAAACAUAAAAAUUAAAAAUGGCACGCAGAACUGUAAUGGACACUUAAAUUGGAACCGAGGAAGAAGUAUAUAUAAGUGGGAACUCCUUGGUGGCUGGACAGUAGAAGAAGAAGAAGGAAGAUACAUUAAUUGCAACUCGAAAUCUCACAUGUUAUUUUAAUUCAAGGGGGUGGUAGGUGCUCCAACCGAAAGACUGAAGUUUCUAUAUAUAUAUAUCUAUAUAGAAAAGCCUCUCUUUUAAAAAAAAAUCAAAUCCAUUUCCAUUAUCUGACAACGCAAUCGUGUUUGAGAUGGCUAUGGAUAUAGAUUUUAUAUGCUAACUUUUGAUUUGCUGUAGAUUUGAUAUUUUAGAAGUAGAUAUUCCAUGUUUACUAUAUUUGUGGAAUUUAUGAUUAAACUAUAGGAAAAGAUAGCGGGUUUACUGCAAAAAAACUGAUAAUUCACUUCCAAAGUACUUACAGUCUAAAAUUUAAUUGAAAAGCAUCUCAAAUCCAGCUUCUCUACAUAUUAGAUUUUAGUAUUCCUUAUUUUAGUUUCCAGAAAUCCGUAGCUAAAAUCUCAAAAUCUAAUCCUAUAACUUUUCGUUAACACCCACUAUAUCAGUUUCGACUGCUACUUUUAAUCAAGGGGACGUAUUCUAUUACAAAUUGUGUGAAGGGGUCAGUCAAAAAAAUUCGUAUAGGAGAUGAAUGGAUAAGUGAAGAUGCUUUCAUACAUCGAGAGAUCUAUUCAAUAUCGUGUAUCAAGAAAUUAGCUAUCAUACAAAACGUCCAAAAAUAUAAAAACUCGAUGUAACCUACUAAAUACUAGUAACUUGUUUUCAUUAUAUCAUACUAAUUGUUUCUUACAAGUUACUUUUUUGAUGAAGUUGUGUUUUGAAUAAAACCUGGGGGCCCUAAACAAAGAUCGAUUAAAUUAUCUUAGUCUCUCCAUGAAUUGAAUAAUUUGAAUUAAACUGGAAUUUAUCUACUGAGAUCUACGCAGGAAAUCAGCGUACGGUAUACAUUAAAUUUUCUUUUUUUGAGCCAUGGACAGAACAAGUCUAAUUUUUUUUCAUAUUGGGUACUUUUUGAGAUCCUUUUUUCCCGGGGGUAGAUGGCAUGCAUGCAUGCUUGUGGGUAGGUAAGCAAGAAGCAAGAUCUAAUAAUGUUGGUACAGCAGGAGGGAGAUUAAAGGGGAUUUUGAACUAAGAUCUAAUGACCCCGGUUCGUUUUGGGAUUUUGAAUUUGGAGGUAAUGAGUAUAGAGAGAAAUAGAGUAAUAAUUAAAAAUAUGGGUAAUUUUUAAAAAUAGAUAGAGAGAAAAAUGAGAGUAAUAAUUGAAAAAAAUAGAAUAAUGAUUAGAAUUCAAAACCCUUAAACGAAGGGGACCUACAAAUGUUUCUCCCCUUGUCACAUAGGGAAAGUACAACUACCACCUGGCAUUUCUAUUUUUGUGAUGACGUCAUGCUGUAAUGGGGAGAAGUUUUCAGGUGCCGUGCGGGUACCGCACAUGUGGUACUCUAUUGGUGACGUGUUUUGGGCAAUCCAGAUUUUAGAGAGAAAGAAAAA